This is a non-coding RNA of Pan troglodytes (chimpanzee), 117 nucleotides long. It matches the Rfam family "Metazoan signal recognition particle RNA". Rfam says of the family: The signal recognition particle (SRP) is a universally conserved ribonucleoprotein. It is involved in the co-translational targeting of proteins to membranes. Lineage: Eukaryota; Metazoa; Chordata; Mammalia; Primates; Hominidae. The record is from Rfam.
GCUGGGCACGGUGGCUCAUGCCUGUAAUCCCAGCACUUGGGGAGGCCGAGGCGGGAGGAUCACCUGAGGUCAGGAGUUCGAGACCAGCCUGACCAACAUGGAGAGACCCCGUCUCUA